AGUGAACGCUGGCGGUAGGCCUAACACAUGCAAGUCGAACGGCAGCGCAGUAAGAGCUUGCUCUUACGGGUGGCGAGUGGCGGACGGGUGAGGAAUACAUCGGAAUCUACUUUUUCGUGGGGGAUAACGUAGGGAAACUUACGCUAAUACCGCAUACGACCUACGGGUGAAAGCAGGGGAUCUUCGGACCUUGCGCGAUUGAAUGAGCCGAUGUCGGAUUAGCUAGUUGGCGGGGUAAAGGCCCACCAAGGCGACGAUCCGUAGCUGGUCUGAGAGGAUGAUCAGCCACACUGGAACGUAGACACGGUCCAGACGCCUACGGGAGGCAGCAGUGGGGAAUAUUGGACAAUGGGCGCAAGCCUGAUCCAGCCAUACCGCGUGGGUGAAGAAGGCCUUCGGGUUGUAAAGCCCUUUUGUUGGGAAAGAAAAGCAGCAGGUUAAUACCCCGCUGUUCUGACGGUACCCAAAGAAUAAGCACCGGCUAACUUCGUG
RNAcentral lists this ribosomal RNA (492 nucleotides) under uncultured bacterium. RNAcentral's name for it is "partial 16S ribosomal RNA". It matches the Rfam family "Bacterial small subunit ribosomal RNA", at positions 29 to 507 of the family's 1533-position model. The record is from RNAcentral.